This 199-nucleotide ribosomal RNA is filed under the name Dwesasilvasedis medinae. RNAcentral describes it as "partial 28S ribosomal RNA". Lineage: Eukaryota; Metazoa; Arthropoda; Insecta; Coleoptera; Scarabaeidae. The record is from RNAcentral.
AACGAUCGGGCACCGAACGCGUGCACUUCUCCUCCUGUAGGACGUCGUGACCCGUUGGGCGCCGGCCUAAGGCCCGCGGUGGAGAUCGGACGCCUUUGGCGCGUCCGGACCCGCGGUGUCCCGGCCGGCACGACCGACGGUAUAACUACGGCGCGGGGCCGCGACCUGUUCGCGUCCGGCGCGCCGCAAGCGCGAACGG